GAAAAGUGUUGUUUGUUCAUAAACAAGAGGCCCAAGGGCCUUGAAUCGCUCUUCUGAUAAAUUGUACAACCUAUCACUUGUAUUUAAAGCCUCUAACCCUAAGUAUCCUAUUAAAGACCCAAGUUGCAUCACCUGACAAAGUUUGAUGAUUCUUAGCCAAUUAGAACUACUUUUUGGUCUACAUUCUUGGAAAUCACAAAAUGCAUCAAGUGACAAAGUAUGAUUAUUCUAAGCCAAUAAAUACCUAAAAUACUUAAAUAUAGCCAUACAAUGUCGAAAGUAGGUCAUCGUGACCUACAUUUUAGUCAACAUUUUUCAGAGUCCCAAGAUGCAUCUGCUGACUAAGUUUGAUAAUUCUAAGCCAAUAAAUACCUGAGAUAUUCAAAAGUAGGUCACUGUGACCUACUCUUUAGUCAACAUUCUCAGAAAACUCAAGAUGCAUCAACUGACAAAGUAUGAUGAUUCUUAAUCAAUAAGUACCAGGGAUACUUAAAUAUAGCCAUACAAUGUCGAAAGUAGGUCAUUGUGACCUACAUUUUGGUUGACAUUUUUUAGAGUCCCAAGAUGCAUCUGCUGACCAAGUUUGAUAAUUCUAAGCCAAUAAAUACCUGAGAUAUUCAAAAGUAGGUCACCAUGACCUACUCUUAGGUCGACAUUCUCCGAAAACCAAAGAUGCAUCAACUGACAAAGUAUGAUGAUUCUAAAUCGAUAAGUACUAGAGAUACAUAAAUAUAGCCAUAAAAUGUCAAAAAGUAGGUCACCGUGACCUACUUUUUGGUCGACAUUCUCCGAAAACCCAAGAUGCAUCAACUGACAAAGUUUGAUGAUUCUAAGCCGAAAAGUACUGGAGAUACAUAAAUAUAGCCCUAAAAUGUCAAAAGUAGGUCACCGUGACCUACUUUUUGGUCGACAUUCUCCGAAAACCCAAGAUGCAUCAACUCACAAAGUUUGAUGAUUCUAAGCCAAUAAAUACCUAAGAUACUUAAAUAUAGCCAUAAAAUGUCAAAAGUAGGUCACCGUGACCUACAUUUUGGUCGACAUUUUUCAGGGUCCCAAGAUGCAUCUCUUGACCAAGUUUGAUGAUCGUAGGUUUGAAGGUAAUCAAAAUAUGCCUUUUAAACAAUUUGAAAACAAAUGCCUGCAAAAUUCUAAAAGUAGGUCACAGUGACCUACUUUUU
Saccostrea cuccullata (small rock oyster) is the source of this 1178-nucleotide long non-coding RNA. RefSeq lists it as uncharacterized. The record is from RefSeq and is a predicted model, not a curated record. Lineage: Eukaryota; Metazoa; Mollusca; Bivalvia; Ostreida; Ostreidae. The transcript is spliced from 2 exons.